RNAcentral lists this small RNA (549 nucleotides) under Pongo abelii (Sumatran orangutan). Its description in RNAcentral is "retained intron". The record is from RNAcentral. Lineage: Eukaryota; Metazoa; Chordata; Mammalia; Primates; Hominidae.
AAAUUUACUGAUGAUUGCUGGUUAUUCCUUUUUACUAAACAAACUUGUAGUUAGCUUUUCCUUUAACUGUCACUAAUAUAUUUGGAAUUUUAUAAGAGGAAUUAUCAUACGCUUUUGAAACGUUGCUUUUGAACACUUUGACUACAGUGACUUCAAAUAAUCCUUUUUUGUUUCUGAAGGAUCAGUUCCACGACAAGACCCCUUAUACGAUUAUGUUUGGUCCAGAUAAAUGUGGAGAGGACUAUAAACUGCACUUCAUCUUCCGACACAAAAACCCCAAAACGGGUAUUUAUGAAGAAAAACAUGCUAAGAGGCCAGAUGCAGAUCUGAAGACCUAUUUUACUGAUAAGAAAACACAUCUUUACACACUAAUCUUGAAUCCAGAUAAUAGUUUUGAAAUACUAGUUGACCAAUCUGUGGUGAAUAGUGGAAAUCUGCUCAAUGACAUGACUCCUCCUGUAAAUCCUUCACGUGAAAUUGAGGACCCAGAAGACCGGAAGCCCGAGGAUUGGGAUGAAAGACCAAAAAUCCCAGAUCCAGAAGCUGUCA